RNAcentral lists this ribosomal RNA (254 nucleotides) under uncultured bacterium. RNAcentral's name for it is "partial 16S ribosomal RNA". It matches the Rfam family "Bacterial small subunit ribosomal RNA", at positions 524 to 776 of the family's 1533-position model. The record is from RNAcentral.
UACGGAGGGUGCAAGCGUUAUCCGGAUUCACUGGGUUUAAAGCGCGUGUAGGUGGGUCGUUAAGUGUCCGCGUGAAAUCCCACGGCUCAACCGUGGAACUGCCGGGCAUACUGGCGAUCUUGAGGCAUUCAGGGGCGAGCGGAACAAGUGGUGGAGCGGUGAAAUGCGUAGAUAUCACUUGGAACGCCAAUGGUGAAAACAGCUCGCUGGGAAUGAUCUGACACUGAGACGCGAAAGCCAGGGGAGCGAACGGG